CCUAGCCAUAAAUUUUGGACACACCCGCCAGAGCACUACGAGCUACAGCUUAAAAUUCAAAGGACUUGGCGGCACUAUAUACCACCUAGAGGAGCCUGUUCUGUAAUCGAUAACCCCCGAUAAACCUCACCAUCCCUUGCUAAUACAGCCUAUAUACCACCGUCUUCAGCUUACCCUUCAAAUGAAUAAUAGUAAGCGAGAACAUUUUAAAUAAAAAAGUCAGGUCAAGGUGUAGCACAUGAGAUGGGAAGAAAUGGGCUACAUUUUCUUAACAGAAAAUACAAAAUAUUCUAUGAAAUAAAAUAUGAAGGCGGAUUUAGCAGUAAAAAGAAAAAAGAGUGUUCUUUUUAAAUAGGCAAUAUAGUGCGCAC
RNAcentral lists this ribosomal RNA (371 nucleotides) under Batrachoseps wrighti (Oregon slender salamander). RNAcentral's name for it is "partial 12S ribosomal RNA". Lineage: Eukaryota; Metazoa; Chordata; Amphibia; Caudata; Plethodontidae. The record is from RNAcentral.